UACGUAGGGGGCAAGCGUUAUCCGGAUUUACUGGGAGUAAAGGGAGCGCAGACGGCUAAGCAAGUCUGAAGUGAAACCCCACGGCUCAACCGUGGGUUUGCUUUGGAAACUGUUUGGCUAGAAUACUGGAGAGGUAAGCGGAAUUCCUAGUGUAGCGGUGAAAUGCGUAGAUAUUAGGAGGAACAUCGGUGGCGAAGGCGGCUUACUGGACAGCAACUGACGUUGAGGCUCGAAGGCGUGGGGAGCAAAC
This 250-nucleotide ribosomal RNA is filed under the name uncultured prokaryote. RNAcentral describes it as "partial 16S ribosomal RNA". It matches the Rfam family "Bacterial small subunit ribosomal RNA", at positions 524 to 773 of the family's 1533-position model. The record is from RNAcentral.